AAGUCGUAACAAGGUUUCCGUAGGUGAACCUGCGGAAGGAUCAUUAACACGUUAUCCACGUAUCUACCUCUUGCGAACUUUUUAUCGUUUAGGAGUCGGCAGACCAGCGUAGAUGAUGGAGGUAGAUGUUACUAUGUCCAGUGGCCGACGCCCUGGUUCUACCUGCCUAGCCAAUGUCCCCCCCGCAUCGUCGAGUAUCUUUUUUUUAAAUGUGGUGUAAAAAAAGAGAAAGAGAGUGCGGGUCGUGGCUUGGGUAUUCUGGUUCAUAUGACUCGAAUCAUAGUAGUUUAUAAUCUUAUUCACCCUUUUUUACUAAAUUUGUUGAAUUGUGAUGGUCUCGGAGGUAACACUUCGUAGCACUCACGUAAAUAAAACACUAUACAACUCUUAGCAACGGAUAUCUCGGUUCU
RNAcentral lists this unclassified non-coding RNA (410 nucleotides) under fungal sp. Its description in RNAcentral is "partial internal transcribed spacer region". The stretch from base 1 to 46 matches the Rfam family "Eukaryotic small subunit ribosomal RNA", at positions 1786 to 1831 of the family's 1831-position model. The record is from RNAcentral. Lineage: Eukaryota; Fungi.